GGCUCAGUAACACGUCGAUAAUCUGCCCUGAGGUCAGGGAAAGCCUUGGGAAACUGAGGGUAAACCCUGAUAGGGGAAGAGUUCUGCAAUGAACCUUCCUGCAAAAGCAAUGCCUCAGGAUGGGUCGGCGGCAGAUUAGGUUGUUGGCGGGGUAACGGCCCACCAAGCCAAAGAUCUGUAGGGGCUCUGAGAGGAGUUGCCCCGAGAAGGGCACUGAGAUACUGGCCCUAGCCCUACGGGGUGCAGCAGGCGCGAAAACUCUGCAAUGCACGCAAGUGUGACAGGGGAAUCCGAAGUGCUUAGUUUACUAGGCUUUUGCCAAGCUUAAAGCGUUUGGCGAAUAAGGGGUGGGAAAGACUGGUGCCAGCCGCCGCGGUAACACCAGCGCCCCAAGUGGGGGUCUCGCUUAUUGGGUCUAAAGCGUCCGUAGCUGGCUUGUUAAAUUUCUUGUGAAAUUGUCCGGCUCAACCGGGCAGCGUGCAGGGAAGACUGGCAAGCUGGGGACCGGGAAGGGUCAGAGGUAUGCCGGGGGGAGCGGUAAAAUGCUAUAAUCCCCGGGUAGAACCACUGUGGCGAAGGCGUCUGACUAGAACGGGUCCGACAGUGAGGGACGAAAGCCAGGGGACAAAACCGGAUUAGAUACCCGAGUAGUCCUGGCCGUAAACGCUGCGAGCUAGGUGUCGCGCAUUCUCCGUGAAUGCGCGGUGUCGGAGCGAAGGUGUUAAGCUCGCCACCUGGGAAGUACGGUCGCAAGACUGAAACUUAAAGGAAUAGGCGGGGGAGCACUACAAGGGGUGCGGCGUGCGGUUUAAUUCAACUCCACCCGGGGAAUCUCACCAGGGGCGACGGCAGGAUGAAGGUCAGUCUAACGGGCUUACCUGACGAGCCGAGAGGUAGUGCAUGGCCGCCGUCAGCUCGUGCCGUAAGGUGUCUUGUUAAGUCAAGCAACGAGCGAGACCUGUAUCCACAAUUGCGAACGACCCAAUCUGGGAAUCGUGCACAUUGUGGGGACUGCCUUGGAAACAAGGAGGAAGGUGCAGGCAACGGUAGGUCUGUAUGCUCCGAAUCUUCUGGGCUACACGCGCGCAACAAUGGUGCAGACAGUGGGAUGCAACUCCGAAAGGAGAAGCGAAUCCUCGAAACUGCAUCGUAGUUCGGAUUGAGGG
Molecule: ribosomal RNA, 1166 nt
Filed under: uncultured archaeon
Lineage: Archaea
Description: bacterial SSU rRNA
Rfam family: Archaeal small subunit ribosomal RNA
Source: RNAcentral